UCAAACUUGGUCAUUUAGAGGAAGUAAAAGUCGUAACAAGGUCUCCGUUGGUGAACCAGCGGAGGGAUCAUUACCGAGUUUACAACUCCCAAACCCCAAUGUGAACGCUACCAAACCUGUUGCCUCGGCGGGAUCACUGCCCCGGGCGCGUCGCAGCCCCGGACCACGGCGCCCGCCGGAGGGACCAACCCGAAACUCCUGAAUCGAAGCCCCCUCGCGGGCCCUCUCUCUCUCUCUGAGGAAAAACAAACAAAUGAAUCAAAACUUUCAACAACGGAUCUCUUGGUUCUGGCAUCGAUGAAGAACGCAGC
RNAcentral lists this unclassified non-coding RNA (311 nucleotides) under uncultured fungus. RNAcentral's name for it is "partial contains small subunit ribosomal RNA, internal transcribed spacer 1, and 5.8S ribosomal RNA". The stretch from base 1 to 73 matches the Rfam family "Eukaryotic small subunit ribosomal RNA", at positions 1759 to 1831 of the family's 1831-position model. The record is from RNAcentral. Lineage: Eukaryota; Fungi.